CGGACGGGUGAGUAAUGUCUGGGAAACUGCCUGAUGGAGGGGGAUAACUACUGGAAACGGUAGCUAAUACCGCAUAACGUCGCAAGACCAAAGAGGGGGACCUUCGGGCCUCUUGCCAUCGGAUGUGCCCAGAUGGGAUUAGCUAGUAGGUGGGGUAACGGCUCACCUAGGCGACGAUCCCUAGCUGGUCUGAGAGGAUGACCAGCCACACUGGAACUGGGACACGGUCCAG
This 232-nucleotide ribosomal RNA is filed under the name uncultured bacterium. RNAcentral describes it as "partial 16S ribosomal RNA". It matches the Rfam family "Bacterial small subunit ribosomal RNA", at positions 99 to 334 of the family's 1533-position model. The record is from RNAcentral.